This 598-nucleotide ribosomal RNA is filed under the name Odorrana grahami (Yunnanfu frog). Its description in RNAcentral is "partial 16S ribosomal RNA". It matches the Rfam family "Bacterial large subunit ribosomal RNA", at positions 1006 to 2074 of the family's 2925-position model. Lineage: Eukaryota; Metazoa; Chordata; Amphibia; Anura; Ranidae. The record is from RNAcentral. RNAcentral also lists the same sequence under 1 other name.
UUAUUUGAAACAGGAUACAACCUCCACCACCGGGUAAACAAGGGUAGUCAAAACUAAGUGGGCCUAAAAGCAGCCACCUUCCGAAAAGCGUCAAAGCUUAUCUACUCCAACCCACAAUUUCUAAAAUACUCCAUAACCCUUCAUUCCUACUGACCCCUUUUAUACUAUUAUAAAAAUAAUUAUGCUAGAACUAGUAACAAGAAGUCGCCCUUCUCCCUAAUGUAAGUAUAAACCAAAACGGACCUUCCAUUGGUAAUUAACGUAAAUGCAAACCCCAUAACAACAUAACCAGAAAACCUUAUGGCCCCCCACGUUACCCUAACACUAGAACAUUACAGGAAAGAUUAAAAGAGAAAGAAGGAACUCGGCAAAUUUUAACCCCGCCUGUUUACCAAAAACAUCGCCUCUUGAUUAAACAUAGGAGGUCCAGCCUGCCCAGUGACAAAAUUCAACGGCCGCGGUACACUAACCGUGCGAAGGUAGCAUAAUCAUUUGUUCUUUAAAUAAGGACUAGUAUCAACGGCAUCACGAGGGUUAUACUGUCUCCUAUCUCUAAUCAGUGAAACUGAUCCCCCCGUGAAGAAGCGGGGAUUUAGCU